CAAAUAACAAUAUUCUGAAAUAUUCUGAAAAUAGGAUUUUAAAGAAAAACACUGCGACCGCUGGAGGUCCCUAUUGUAUUUGCUAGAAUUCUUCUUACCUAUUAUUAUUUUUACCCCCCUGAACAUAUACGAAAACUCAAUUUUAUUUAGCAAAGUUGUCAGGUCUGGUUAAAAUGGGAUAUUCUAUGCAUCAUAUCUACAAACGUCUACAAAAUCAGAAAAAUGAGUCUUCCUCAAUAUUAGUUGUGUUCUGGGCCCUUGCUGCCAAUAAUCAGCAGGUACAAGUUAAAAGGAAGUCACAUGACUUACAGAAAGUGAGCUGCAGGAUGAAGCUCAGAUGAGAAACUCUGCUGCAGUCAGACAGACGGACAAACACAGAGCCUGACUUCACUUUCACACUUUAUCCAAACAGAACUUUCACAACAGACUUGAUCUCAGUUGUCUGGUCUCUGGUUGGAGGAUCAGAAGGACACAGAGACCUCCAUCAUGGCCACCGCUGACCAGCUGCUGGAGCUGAUGUUCUCCUGGAUUGAGCAGAUGGAGGACUGUGCAGAGCAGCUGAUGACUCUGGCCCAGGAGCUGGAGUCACUCAGAGAGAAAUAGAGGAGGAGAGUGAUGAAGAGAAGAAACCUCCUGGAACUAUAAGAGUGGGGUUACUUAAUGUUCGCUCAAUGGAAAGAAAAACAUUUGAGAUCUUUAAGCUCAUAAUACAAAACAACCUGGACGUCUUUCUCACAACAGAGACGUGGUUAAAAAAUCAUCAUCAUCAUCAAUGUGUAUCGUCGACCGAACCGCCCACAGCCCGAGUUCCUUACAUUUCUGGAUGAGUUUGAAAAGGUCUUACAUUAUUUCAGCUCCUACAACAGCAUCAUUGUGGCUGGAGAUUUCAAUAUCCAUGUCUCUAAGGAAAAGAGGGGUUUCACUGAUGAGUUUGAUCAUAUUUGGCCGAUCUACAGCCUUGAGCAGCAUGUACAGGUGCUAACACACAAAGAAGGUAACACUCUGGAUCCGGUCCUCACCAGAAAUGUUAAAAUCUCUGAUCUUGUUUUCCGAGAUGACGGAAUAUCAGAUCAUUACACCGUAUAUUUCAGUGCGUGUCCGAAUCCGAGUCGUUCACUCUGCAGAGCAACGAGCGGAACGCUUUUCCUCUUGCUAGCUGCGGCAGCGGACAUCGCACAGCAAAGACAGUUUGGACUUCAGAACCACAAUUCUGAUCAGCCUGGCUUACAGGACCGCCGGCUGACCCAUAUAGCUCACCCGCAACUCUUCUAUAUCUCCAUUGGACUGUCUGUAACGUACUGGACAUAGACAGGUUAGAUAGAUUAGAUUGUAUAUUGUGUAUUUUCCUCUGUUUGCUUUUAUUAUAUCUGGUUAAUAAAUGUUUGUGUUUACAUA
Long non-coding RNA from Dicentrarchus labrax (European seabass), 1395 nucleotides. RefSeq lists it as uncharacterized. The transcript is spliced from 3 exons. The record is from RefSeq and is a predicted model, not a curated record. Lineage: Eukaryota; Metazoa; Chordata; Actinopteri; Moronidae.